Molecule: long non-coding RNA, 823 nt
Organism: Peromyscus eremicus (cactus mouse)
Lineage: Eukaryota; Metazoa; Chordata; Mammalia; Rodentia; Cricetidae
Exons: 2
Source: RefSeq, a predicted model, not a curated record
UUCAGUUACCUCCACAGCCAGGUCCUCCGAGAAUGGACUCAGCUGAAGGAGAGUGUACAUGUGUUGAGACUGAAGAACGGACUGCUGUGGAAGGAGCAGAUUGAACUGCAAGAGUCCUGUGAGGAGCUGAAGAGGCUCUUGAAGGAGGCCCAUGAGAUGAUCUGUGACCCCUGUGCUGAGCAGAAUCAGGUAGGCUGAGGCAGCAGGGGCAGGUGCCCACCUUCCAACCACAAACAUAGAGACACCCAUAUACCAUCCACCCAUCCAUCCAGACUCCCACCUACAUACCAUCCAAUUUUUGAUUUCUGUGAUCACUCCCAAGUCUUUCUGGAGAGUUAGCCUCUUUCAAGAAACUGGAUAAUUGUCAAGCAAACCUUCUUGCUCUGCUAGAAGCUGCAGUACAUUGAGAGAGCUGGGUCAGUCACAUAUCACACACCUACAUGUCAUUAUGAUCAGAGGGCUGCUAUGCAGGGAGGUACUUUGGGAACAACACAAAGCUUUCAUUGAUGAUGUCAGUGGCUUGUGGCUCAUUUGCUUUGCAAGGGUCAUGUGAGAUCACAGGGAGGAAGCAGCCUUCAAGGACUAGAGCCCAGUGCCAGUGCCAAGUUCAAGAAGAGUAUCAGGGAUUGCAUGCCAAUGACCAAGAUUCUCAGAGGAGACUCACUUCUCAGAAAUACUAAUGCACAGACACAGAAUGAACAAUUUUAUGUCAUGAAGUGGGUGGAUGGAUGGGUGUAUGGAUGAGGAAAGUGAUGAGAUAGAGCACAGGUGUCUGGAUGGGUAGAUUUUGUAAGGUUACAUAAGUAAAUGAUGCUGGACCUAA